This 1697-nucleotide long non-coding RNA is filed under the name Mus musculus (house mouse). RNAcentral describes it as "long non-coding RNA chr3:95001716-95003413". Lineage: Eukaryota; Metazoa; Chordata; Mammalia; Rodentia; Muridae. The record is from RNAcentral.
AGCUUGGGGUAUGUGAGACUGUCUCAAAAAUUUUAAAAAAUUAAACAUACCAAUAACAAAACCUCAGCACACGCAUAUGGAUUUGUUUUGUAUGUCACAUCUAGUUUGAGAAUAUAAGUUUCUUUCAUCCAUAGCUGAGGCUACAAAGAGGUACUGCACUGUUGUGGGUCUCUCUGCCUAUCAAGGAAAAGUUAGCUCAACAAAGGUAGGACCCGUUUGGGCCAAAAUAAUUUUUAUGUAUUAUCACUUGGAUGGAUACAGUGUUAAGAUUCAGUUCUUCACUCGCUCUUAUUUCUGGAAAAUGUUCACUCUGGUGGUAUCCUGGCAAUAAGAUCUUAAUAGAAGUCUGGAGCAAAAUUUGAUACAACUGUCACUUGGGGGAACUGAAAAGAGCAUGUCCACUGUUUGACCAAGAGACUUACCUCUUUUUAUUAAACGUACUUCAGGGAUUUCUAAUAGUAUGAAUGUCCAGUAAGUGGAAUUUGUUAUGUUCUGAGUUUUAAAAGGUGAAAUAUAAAUACAUUUUUAAAAACUUAUCCAAAAUGUCACUGUUAAGACAAAUCAGAAAACAGUAAAUUAGGACAAUUAAAAACAAAACAAGCCAGGCAGUGGUGGCCCACGCCUUUAAUCCCAGCACUCAGGAGGCAGAAGCAGGUGGAUUUCUGAGUUCCGAGGCCAGCCUGGUCUACAAAGUGAGUUCCAAGACAGCCAGGGCUAUACAGAGAAACCCUGUCUCGAAAAACCAAACCAAAACAAAACCCUCAUGUCAAAAGGAGUCCCAAGGCAGCUUACGAGGUAGAAGCUAGGCCUGGCCAGGUAGUUAACAGGACAGAAACUGCCUCUCACCGGCUUUGAAACUUUGGGGUGGGGGUGGAGUCACCUGUUCUCUCUGCGUCUAGACAUCUAGGAUUGUGUGGGCGCUGCUACAUUGUUAGUGCUUCCCCACAACUCAGGUGGGUCUUGAGCUCUCUCUUUCUACCUCUCCUCUUUCAGCCAGUCUGACCAACUUAGAGGUAGCCUUCAGCUGGGGCAUGAAUGCUUGGCCUAACAAAGCUUCUAUUGAUAGCAAAAAGACUGGUCAUGCAGAAUAGGCCAGGCCUCACAUGCUUAGCAUGCUAAUUGUUCUUCCUACUGACAUUAAUGUGGGAAUCACAAAGACCUGAGGUAUCGUCCACUAACUCGUUUUCCCUACAGCUGGCCUGUAGUAUACCAUUCCUAAGGCUUUUUUAUGUAAGUCAUUUGCCCUCACAGUUUUAAAGUUUUUAUCAGCAACCUGAUGGCUCAUUCAUAUGAUUUUAGCACUUGGGAGACAGAGGCAGACUUGGGCUAGGGUACAGCAUAUCUUUAGGGGAGUGGAGAGGCUAAAUAAAUAACUUGAGUCCAUAAAGUUAUUACCAUACAUAAAAUCAUGAGUACCUGAGUUCAAUCCCCAGAACCCGCAUAAAAAUCCUGGUGUGGCCAGGCAUGGUGGUGCAUGCCUUUAAUCCUGGCACUUGGGAGGCAGAGGCAGGCGGAUUUCUGAGUUUGAGGCCAGCCUGCUCUACAGAAUGAGUUCCAAGACAGCCAGGGCUAUACAGAGAAACCCUGUUUCAGAAAACAAAACAAAAAAUCCUGGUGUGAUGGCACACUUUAAUACCAGAUGGGGAAGCAGAAACCAAAGGAUUUCCUGUGCAAGCUGCCCUAGGGAUCCCAAGUUU